UUGAUCCUAGGGGGGCAGCAGUGGGGGAUAUUGCACAAUGGGGGAAACCCUGAUGCAGCGACGCCGCGUGGGUGAAGAAGCGCCUCGGCGCGUAAAGCCCUGUCAGCAGGGAAGAAAAUGACGGUACCUGAAGAAGAAGCCCCGGCUAACUACGUGCCAGCAGCCGCGGUAAUACGUAGGGGGCAAGCGUUAUCCGGAUUUACUGGGUGUAAAGGGGGCGCAGACGGCGAUGCAAGCCAGGAGUGAAAGCCCGGGGCCCAACCCCGGGACGGCUCUUGGAACUGCGUGGCUAGAGUGCAGGAGGG
This 305-nucleotide ribosomal RNA is filed under the name uncultured bacterium. Its description in RNAcentral is "bacterial SSU rRNA". It matches the Rfam family "Bacterial small subunit ribosomal RNA", at positions 332 to 656 of the family's 1533-position model. The record is from RNAcentral.